AUGAACGCUGGCGGCGUGCCUAAUACCUGCAAGUCGCGCGAACAGACGAGGAGCUUGCUCCUCUGACGUUAGCGGCGGACGGGUGAGUAACACGUGGAUAACCUACCUAUAAGACUGGGAUAACUUCGGGAAACCGGAGCUAAUACCGGAUAAUAUAUUGAACCGCAUGGUUCAAUAGUGAAAGACGGUUUUGCUGUCACUUAUAGAUGGAUCCGCGCCGCAUUAGCUAGUUGGUAAGGUAACGGCUUACCAAGGCAACGAUGCGUAGCCGACCUGAGAGGGUGAUCGGCCACACUGGAACUGAGACACGGUCCAGACUCCUACGGGAGGCAGCAGUAGGGAAUCUUCCGCAAUGGGCGAAAGCUUGACGGAGCAACGCCGCGUGAGUGAUGAAGGUCUGCGGAUCGUAAAACUCUGUUAUUAGGGAAGAACAAAUGUGUAAGUAACUAUGCACGUCUUGACGGUACCUAAUCAGAAAGCCACGGCUAACUACGU
RNAcentral lists this ribosomal RNA (495 nucleotides) under uncultured bacterium. Its description in RNAcentral is "partial 16S ribosomal RNA". It matches the Rfam family "Bacterial small subunit ribosomal RNA", at positions 29 to 506 of the family's 1533-position model. The record is from RNAcentral.